RNAcentral lists this transfer RNA (73 nucleotides) under Minisyncoccota bacterium. Its description in RNAcentral is "tRNA-Lys". It matches the Rfam family "tRNA". From Rfam's summary of the family: Transfer RNA (tRNA) molecules are approximately 80 nucleotides in length. Their secondary structure includes four short double-helical elements and three loops (D, anti-codon, and T loops). Lineage: Bacteria; Bacillati; Minisyncoccota. The record is from RNAcentral.
GCCCCGCUAGCUCAGUUGGUAGAGCAGCUCCCUUUUAAGGAGACGGUCGAAGGUUCAAGUCCUUCGCGGGGCA